UGGACAUCUGAGUUAUCAUUCUUGACCGCCGAAUCAACACCUGCAUUAUUAGGAGAAAUUGUAGUCUGGCCUACCCCGGGAACUUGAUUGUUUUCUCCAGCUGGAGCUGGAGCUGGCUCGGUGGGUUUCAUAGGCACAUCCUUCACAGGUUCGGCUGAAGGCUUCUCUAAUGGUUUUACAGGCUCAUCCUUCACAGGUCCAGCUGAAGGCUUCUCUGCUGGCUUCACGGGCUCUUCUGUCACAGGUCCAGCUGAAAGCUUCUCUGAUUGUUUCACGGGCUCAUCCUUCACAAGUCCAGCUGCAGGCUUCUCUGUUGGUUUCACAGGCUCAGAUGUAGCACCAAGC
RNAcentral lists this long non-coding RNA (345 nucleotides) under Setaria italica (foxtail millet). RNAcentral's name for it is "long non-coding RNA (SITA_LNC000614)". Lineage: Eukaryota; Viridiplantae; Streptophyta; Magnoliopsida; Poales; Poaceae. The record is from RNAcentral.